Molecule: transfer RNA, 74 nt
Organism: Oscillatoriales cyanobacterium
Lineage: Bacteria; Bacillati; Cyanobacteriota; Cyanophyceae; Oscillatoriales
Rfam family: tRNA
About the family: Transfer RNA (tRNA) molecules are approximately 80 nucleotides in length. Their secondary structure includes four short double-helical elements and three loops (D, anti-codon, and T loops).
Source: Rfam
GGGGCUGUAGCUCAGCAGGAUAGAGCGGUCGCCUCCUAAGCGACAGGUCGCGCGUUCGAAUCGCGCCAGUCCCG